GAAGGGGCUCAGUCUCCAAGACCAUCUCCCACUUCAAGUUCCAGCUGACACGGGGCUCUUCCACUGAGGACACUACUGCAUUCCCUGCCUUUGGACCCUGCAGCCAGCAACUCUCUCUAUCAGUAGCCCAUGGCAGAGGUUCCAGUGUCUUUGGAAGCCAAAUGCUGAAGGAUGCUGCAUGAAAGCCCGCUUUGUGGGGGGACCCCAGGGACAGAGAAGCCCGUGAUCACCACCAAUGAUGGCAGGAGCUGCAUCCCUGGACACAUCUCCCCUCUGCUGUUCUGGCUCCAUAUGGUGAUUCGUCAGAACAGCUUGUGGCAGCAGGACCAGGCUGACCUUUGGAAAUAACGGAGCAGCAGCCCUAGCAGGGCUAGAAA
Long non-coding RNA from Talpa occidentalis (Iberian mole), 377 nucleotides. RefSeq lists it as uncharacterized. The record is from RefSeq and is a predicted model, not a curated record. The transcript is spliced from 3 exons. NCBI's taxonomy places the organism in Eukaryota, Metazoa, Chordata, Mammalia, Eulipotyphla, Talpidae.